This is a long non-coding RNA of Pimephales promelas (fathead minnow), 838 nucleotides long. RefSeq lists it as uncharacterized. Lineage: Eukaryota; Metazoa; Chordata; Actinopteri; Cypriniformes; Leuciscidae. The record is from RefSeq and is a predicted model, not a curated record.
AUUCAUCCGUGUGAAUGUAAGAGUUCACUGAGACUUUAGCUGCUUUGUCUGCUUUCACGAAGACUAUCAAUUUCCAGCAUGAAACAGACCAAACUAUCCACUGGGAAGCGCCUUACAAAACCGAUUCUUUUUGGGACACUGCUCGUAGGUUUGGCCACAGCAUUUAUGAAUAGGCAUUUGUUCAUGGAGGACCUGGCAGAUCUCAGGGAACAGGAACGAUCCCGAAAUGAGGUCAAGCUACAGGAGGUGCUCGAAAGAAGGCAGAGACAAUUCGAUGAAGUUACAGAGAAGAAGAAUGCAAGGGGCAGCUGAGAUGAUGACUGCUCCCUGAACGGAGGAGACCUGCAGGAAACCAGCACGGACCAGGAACAAGUGGGACAAUUUUUGAUUUUGCUUGUUGAUAAAAUGGGAGUCAUGGGACAGAAGUUGCAUGGAAGUACAUGGGUGAUAAAGCAAGUACAAUUUAGCCAAACACAACACAAAGCCUAUACCUGUUUUGUUGACAAUAAUAAUUUGAAUUGGUUGCCUUGAUCAUUUUUAACUGCAACAAUUGGAUCAUUUGCAAGAGGAUUUUACAUCACACAAAUACAAGGAAAUGGUGAAAAUCAGGAAAGAAUGGUCCAAAGCUAGAUGUUCCUCAUUUCUGCCACAAAAGAUGCUUGGACUGUACAAACAUAACAUUUUUAUGAAUACUUAUUUAACAUUUAAUAUUGAUUUCACCAGUUAAAAAAAUCCUACUCAACUAAAUCUUGAUAGAUCAGUUGUUGUUGUACUGUGAUUAUAAUAAUUUUCAUUAAUUGAAAUACAAUUCAGCUAAAAUAAAAUAUGUUGGAUGGCA